RNAcentral lists this ribosomal RNA (449 nucleotides) under uncultured bacterium. RNAcentral describes it as "bacterial SSU rRNA". It matches the Rfam family "Bacterial small subunit ribosomal RNA", at positions 328 to 797 of the family's 1533-position model. The record is from RNAcentral.
UUACCAGACUCCUACGGGAGGCAGCAGUGGGGAAUAUUGCACAAUGGGGGAAACCCUGAUGCAGCGACGCCGCGUGAGUGAAGAAGUAUUUCGGUAUGUAAAUCUCUAUCAGCAGGGAGGAAAAUGACGGUACCUGACUAAGAAGCCCCGGCUAACUACGUGCCAGCAGCCGCGGUAAUACGUAGGGGGCAAGCGUUAUCCGGAUUUACUGGGUGUAAAGGGAGCGUAGACGGCAUGGCAAGUCAGAUGUGAAAGCCCGGGGCUCAACCCCGGGACUGCUCUUGGAACUGCGUGGCUAGAGUGCAGGAGGGGCAGGCGGAAUUCCUGGUGUAGCGGUGAAAUGCGUAGAUAUCAGGAGGAACACCGGUGGCGAAGGCGGCCUGCUGGACUGCAACUGACGUUGAGGCCCGAAAGCGUGGGGAGCAAACAGGAUUAGAUACCCGCGUACA